AUCCACAGAAAAAUUUCAUUUCCUAUAUUCAAUAAAUACCCAAAUCAUAUUACAAACUCAAAUAAACAAUUACCAUUACUAGAGAUGAAUAACAAAUUAACAUUCAAAUUUUUAAGAACAACGUAUAAAAGUAAAAACCCUAUAAAUUUACAAAGAAAUGUGAAGUUUUUGAAUCUACUAAACUCUGAAUCAAACCAUUCAAAAUUUGCUUGUAGAUCUAGAAGCUUGAGGAACAGAAGAAGAAGUAGCGCGAGAAAGUGAGGAUCUUUGUGUAGAAAAACUGAAGCAGAAGCGUCGUUCACUUCCUUGAGUUCUGAGGGUCUUGUUUACAGGAAGAAGCAACAACGUUGUUCCCUUCGUUUAUGGAAAGAAGACACAAAUAAUGGUGAACAAACAUCCCCUUGCAAAUAGAACUGAGAGAGAGAGCGAGAGGCAGAGUACGGGAAGAAGCUUGGAUAAGGAUGGUCUCUUGUGUCAUUUAGAGAGAGAGAGGAAGAGUAGAGUACGGGAAGAAGCUUGGGUAAGAAUGGGUCUCGUGUCGUUCAGAGAGAGAGAGAGAGAGGGAGAGAAUACGAGAGGAAGGGGUGGCUACACAAA
Molecule: long non-coding RNA, 597 nt
Filed under: Manihot esculenta (cassava)
Lineage: Eukaryota; Viridiplantae; Streptophyta; Magnoliopsida; Malpighiales; Euphorbiaceae
Description: long non-coding RNA (MESC_LNC011172)
Source: RNAcentral